GACGAACGCUGGCGGCGUGCUUAACACAUGCAAGUCGAACGGCAAGGCCCUGCUUUUGUGGGGUGCUCGAGUGGCGAACGGGUGAGUAACACGUGAGUAACCUGCCCUUGACUUUGGGAUAACUUCACGAAACUGGGGCUAAUACCGGAUAGGAGCUCCUGUUGCAUGGUGGGGGUUGGAACGUUUCGGCGGUUGGGGAUGGACUCGCGGCUUAUCAGCUUGUUGGUGGGGUAGUGGCUUACCAAGGCUUUGACUGGUAGCCGGCCUGAGAGGGUGACCGGCGACAAUGGGACUGAGAGACGGAGCAGACGCCUACGGGAGGCAGCAGUGGGGAAUAUUGCACAGUGGGCGGAAGCCUGAUGCAGCAGCGCCGCGUGCGUGAUGACGGCCUUCGGGUUGUAAACCGCUGUCGGCUGUGACGAAGCGGGAGUGACGGUAAUGGGUAAAGAAGCACCGGCUAACUACGUG
RNAcentral lists this ribosomal RNA (468 nucleotides) under uncultured bacterium. Its description in RNAcentral is "partial 16S ribosomal RNA". It matches the Rfam family "Bacterial small subunit ribosomal RNA", at positions 28 to 507 of the family's 1533-position model. The record is from RNAcentral.